This 540-nucleotide ribosomal RNA is filed under the name uncultured eukaryote. RNAcentral's name for it is "SSU rRNA". It matches the Rfam family "Eukaryotic small subunit ribosomal RNA", at positions 202 to 746 of the family's 1831-position model. The record is from RNAcentral.
UGUAUUUAUUAGAUAAAAAACCAACGCCCUUCGGGGCUUCUUGGUGAUUCAUGAUAACUUCACGGAUCGCAUGGCCUUGCGCCGGCGACGGUUCAUUCAAAUUUCUGCCCUAUCAACUUUCGAUGGUAAGGUAUUGGCUUACCAUGGUUUCAACGGGUAACGGGGAAUUAGGGUUCGAUUCCGGAGAGGGAGCCUGAGAAACGGCUACCACAUCCAAGGAAGGCAGCAGGCGCGCAAAUUACCCAAUCCCGACACGGGGAGGUAGUGACAAUAAAUACUGAUACAGGGCUCUUUUGGGUCUUGUAAUUGGAAUGAGUACAAUUUAAACCUCUUAACGAGGAACAAUUGGAGGGCAAGUCUGGUGCCAGCAGCCGCGGUAAUUCCAGCUCCAAUAGCGUAUAUUAAAGUUGUUGCAGUUAAAAAGCUCGUAGUUGAAACUUGGGCCUGGCUGGCGGGUCCGCCUCACCGCGUGCACUCGUCCGGCCGGGCCUUCCUUCUGAAGAACCUCAUGCCCUUCACUGGGCGUGCUGGGGAACCAGG